GACAGAGGGUGCAAACGUUGCUCGGAAUUACUGGGCGUAAAGCGCGUGUAGGUGGACUGGUGUGUCAGAUGUGAAAUCCCUGGGCUCAACCCAGGAACUGCACCUGAAACUACCAGCCUUGAGGGGUGGAGAGGGAAGUGGAAUUCCUGGUGUAGAGGUGAAAUUCGUAGAUAUCAGGAGGAACACCGGUGGCGAAGGCGGGUCUCUGGGCCGAUACUGACGCUGAGGAGCGAAAGCGUGGGGAGCGAACAGG
Molecule: ribosomal RNA, 253 nt
Filed under: uncultured bacterium
Lineage: Bacteria
Description: partial 16S ribosomal RNA
Rfam family: Bacterial small subunit ribosomal RNA
Source: RNAcentral